AUGAUUUUUUGUGUGUAAUAAUUUUGUGGUUAGACUCGCACGUUAAAUAAUUUGAAGUUCGAAUCCAUUUUGGGGAGUAGAAUCUAACAGACAUGGAAACACCAUUGAUAAUUAAAAGCUUUAAUUCAGAAAGUGAUUAUUUGGCAGUGAAAAGCUUGAAAGAUGUUAAAUAUGUUUUGUGGAAUGAAACAGUGAAGAUAUGGAAGAUAGCACUUCCAGUGGCACUUUCUUUACUGUUUCAAAAUCUCAACAACUCUUCAACUUCAAUUUAUGCUGGUCAUCUUGGAGAUAUUGAACUCUCUUCUUUCUCUGUUUAUCAAAGUGUCAUCAAUUCUAUUUAUUUCUCUAUGCUGUAUGGCAUGUCAAAUGCACUAGCAACACUAUGUGGUCAAGCUUAUGGCGCAGGACAAUUUCGAAAUGCUGGAAUUUAUCUUCAAAGAUCAUGGAUAGUACUCUUAACAACUUGCAUACUCCUCUUGCCAAUUCAACUAUAUGCAACUCCAAUCUUAAAAUUUUUUGGCCAAGAAAAAGAAAUAGCCGAUCUAGCAGGCAAAUAUGCUAUUCUCGUAAUUCCCUACAUGUUUUCCUAUGCUAUCAAUUUACCCCUUAUGAAAUUUCUUCAAGCACAAAGCAAAGUUAAUGUGAUUAUGUACAUAUCAGUUGUGACAUUGUUAAUACAAAAUGGUCUACUUUAUAUAUUCAUCAAUGUAUUUGAUUUUGGAAUAAUUGGUUUAGCCAUGGCAAGUAAUAUCUCAGGAUGGAUAUUUUCUGUUGCAUUAGUAAUUUAUGCAAUUGGUUGGUGUAAAGAAGGUUGGAAUGGAUUAUCUUUGAAGGCAUUUAAGGAAUUAUGGGAAUUUACUAAACUAAGUCUUGGUUUAUCUGUAAUGAUAUGUUUAGAACAAUGGUAUUCUGCUUGCAUUAUGCUUCUUGCUGGUCACCUUGAUAAUCCUGUCAUUGCUGUUGGUUCCUUUUCAAUUUGCCUUAAUAUUCAGGGUUGGAACUUGAUGCUGCUUCUUGGAGUAAGUUCAGCAGUAAGUGUUCGUGUCUCAAAUACACUUGGCAUGUCACAUCCAAGAGCAGCCAAAUACUCUUUCUUGGUGACAAUGUUUCAGUCUCUUCUCCUUGGAAUCAUUUUCAUGACUGUAAUUUUCUUGAGUAAACAAGAAUUUCCUAUGAUCUUUACAAAGAGUGAGGAUAUGAUACAUGCUGCUAGUGAAUUGGCAUACCUUCUUGGUAUAACCAUGAUUCUCAAUAGUGUUGCACAAACUAUAUCAGGUGUGGUCAUUGGUUGUGGAUGGCAAGUUAUGGUUGGUUACAUAAACUUGGCAUGUUAUUACAUUGUUGGACUCCCUAUUGGAAUUUUCCUUGGUUUCAACCAGCAUUUAGGGGUCAAGGGUCUCUGGGGAGGCACAAUGUGUGGCAGUGUUCUUCAGAUUUUAGUCCUUGCAGUCAUUAUUUAUAAGACCAAUUGGACUAAGGAGGUAGAGCAAACUGCUGAUCGCAUGCGAACUUGGAGCACUAACAAGUAACAACGACCUUAAAACGGACGUGAUUUAUUGGUUGUCAGUAUAAAACUAUUUUACACAAAUGAUCCGUAGAGAGAGAAAUUAAUGCACAGAUUUCUUCGCAAAACUUGGAGCCUCCUCAGAUGCUGAUAUGUUUAUUCAUGCUUCUCCUCCAAAAAAUAUUCUUGAUCUUCUAAUUAAGAAUCGACGCGGCUGAAACUUUUUUUCUUAAGGAAUAAUACUCUUCUUUUUUCUUUUUUCUUUUCUUUUGCCUAUUUUUCUUUCUUUUUUGUUUAACUUUGUAACAAAAAAAAUUGUACCUAUAUACCACUAUAAAUCUAAGACCACCGCACACGUUACACAUUCAA
Molecule: RNA transcript, 1873 nt
Organism: Trifolium pratense (red clover)
Lineage: Eukaryota; Viridiplantae; Streptophyta; Magnoliopsida; Fabales; Fabaceae
Gene name: protein DETOXIFICATION 34-like
Exons: 8
Source: RefSeq, a predicted model, not a curated record